This 504-nucleotide ribosomal RNA is filed under the name Osphronemus exodon (elephant ear gourami). Its description in RNAcentral is "partial 12S ribosomal RNA". It matches the Rfam family "Bacterial small subunit ribosomal RNA", at positions 794 to 1533 of the family's 1533-position model. Lineage: Eukaryota; Metazoa; Chordata; Actinopteri; Anabantiformes; Osphronemidae. The record is from RNAcentral.
GCCUAGCCUUAAACAAAGAUAGCUCAUUACCCCACUAUCCGCCAGGGAACUACGAGCAUUAGCUUAAAACCCAAAGGACUUGGCGGUGCUUAAGAUCCACCUAGAGGAGCCUGUUCUAGAACCGAUAACCCCCGUUCAACCUCACCCUCCCUUGUCUUCCCCGCCUAUAUACCGCCGUCGUCAGCUUACCCUCUGAAGGCCCAAUAGUAAGCAAAACUGGCAUAGCCUAAAACGUUAGGUCGAGGUGUAGCGCAUGAGAGGGAAAGAAAUGGGCUACAUUCCCUAACAUAGUGAAUACGGACAAUGAACUGAAACAUUCAUUUGAAGGAGGAUUUAGCAGUAAGCAGAAAAUAGAGCGUCCUGCUGAAACCGGCCCUAAAGCGCGCACACACCGCCCGUCACUCUCCCCAAGCUAUUAACUUUACAUUACUAAUACCCCACAACUGCAAAGGGGAGGCAAGUCGUAACAUGGUAAGUGUACCGGAAGGUGCACUUGGAAAAAUC